UGAACUAGAGUGCUGUAGAGGGGGUAGAAUUCAGGUGUAGCGGUGAAAUGCGUAGAGAUCUGAAGGAAUACCAGUGGCGAAGGCGGCCCCCUGGACAGACACUGACACUCAGAUGCGAAAGCGUGGGGAGCAAACAGGAUUAGAUACCCUGGUAGUCACGCCGUAAACGAUGUCUACUUGGAGGUUGUGGCCUUGAGCCGUGGCUUUCGGAGCUAACGCGUUAAGUAGACCGCCUGGGGAGUACGGUCGCAAGAUUAAAACUCAAAUGAAUUGACGGGGGCCCGCACAAGCGGUGGAGCAUGUGGUUUAAUUCGAUGCAACGCGAAGAACCUUACCUACUCUUGACAUCCAGAGAAGCCAGCGGAGACGCAGGUGUGCCUUCGGGAACUCUGAGACAGGUGCUGCAUGGCUGUCGUCAGCUCGUGUUGUGAAAUGUUGGGUUAAGUCCCGCAACGAGCGCAACCCUUAUCCUUGUUUGCCAGCGAGUAAUGUCGGGAACUCCAGGGAGACUGCCGGUGAUAAACCGGAGGAAGGUGGGGACGACGUCAAGUCAUCAUGGCCCUUACGAGUAGGGCUACACACGUGCUACAAUGGCGCAUACAGAGGGCAGCAAGCUAGCGAUAGUGAGCGAAUCCCAAAAAGUGCGUCGUAGUCCGGAUUGGAGUCUGCAACUCGACUCCAUGAAGUCGGAAUCGCUAGUAAUCGUGAAUCAGAAUGUCACGGUGAAUACGUUCCCGGGCCUUGUACACACCGCCCGUCACACCAUGGGAGUGGGCUGCAAAAGAAGUGGGUAGUUUAACCUUUCGGGGAGGACGCUCACCACUUUGUGGUUCAUGACUGGGGUGAAGUCGUAACAAGGUAGCCCGUA
RNAcentral lists this ribosomal RNA (868 nucleotides) under uncultured bacterium. Its description in RNAcentral is "bacterial SSU rRNA". It matches the Rfam family "Bacterial small subunit ribosomal RNA", at positions 637 to 1505 of the family's 1533-position model. The record is from RNAcentral.